AGCAUGAGUAUCUGUCUCACAGAACCUAACAACACUCUGAAUGGGCUGAAAUGUGCUGCCUGCAGCGGUCAAGCGAACACAACCUGCAACUCUACUGUGUUCUGUGUGGGAAACCAAGAUCAGUGUGUGACCAGCAUUGUAUCAAACACAACUGUGAAGGGUUGCAUCUCUAAAAGUCUUUGUGGAGUUAACACAUAUAGUAAUGCCACUUGUUGCUCAGGAAACAUGUGUAAUGGGAGUGAAGCCUGGCUCAGACUGGACCUCAGCCAUUUACUGAUGGUCCUACUUGCUGUCAUUUUGCUGCAAUAGGCCACAUUAUGCCUUUUCACGCAAUCGAGCUGCUAAUGACGCUGAACAACUACCACACCACAGAUCUUCUCUGAGGCUACAGAAC
Long non-coding RNA from Pygocentrus nattereri (red-bellied piranha), 394 nucleotides. RefSeq lists it as uncharacterized. Lineage: Eukaryota; Metazoa; Chordata; Actinopteri; Characiformes; Serrasalmidae. The record is from RefSeq and is a predicted model, not a curated record. The transcript is spliced from 3 exons.